UUAAGCGACUAAGCGUACACGGUGGAUGCCCUGGCAGUCAGAGGCGAUGAAGGACGUGCUAAUCUGCGAUAAGCGCCGGUAAGGUGAUAUGAACCGUUAUAACCGGCGAUUUCCGAAUGGGGAAACCCAGUGUGAUUCGUCACACUAUCAUUAACUGAAUCCAUAGGUUAAUGAGGCGAACCGGGGGAACUGAAACAUCUAAGUACCCCGAGGAAAAGAAAUCAACCGAGAUUCCCCCAGUAGCGGCGAGCGAACGGGGAGGAGCCCAGAGCCUGAAUCAGCAUGUGUGUUAGUGGAAGCGUCUGGAAAGGCGCGCGAUACAGGGUGACAGCCCCGUACACAAAAGCGCAUGUGCUGUGAGCUCGAUGAGUAGGGCGGGACACGUGGUAUCCUGUCUGAAUAUGGGGGGACCAUCCUCCAAGGCUAAAUACUCCUGACUGACCGAUAGUGAACCAGUACCGUGAGGGAAAGGCGAAAAGAACCCCGGCGAGGGGAGUGAAAAAGAACCUGAAACCGUGUACGUACAAGCAGUGGGAGCACAGGUUUACCUGUGUGACUGCGUACCUUUUGUAUAAUGGGUCAGCGACUUAUAUUCUGUAGCAAGGUUAACCGUAUAGGGGAGCCGUAGGGAAACCGAGUCUUAACCGGGCGUUAAGUUGCAGGGUAUAGACCCGAAACCCGGUGAUCUAGCCAUGGGCAGGUUGAAGGUUGGGUAACACUAACUGGAGGACCGAACCGACUAAUGUUGAAAAAUUAGCGGAUGACCUGUGGCUGGGGGUGAAAGGCCAAUCAAACCGGGAGAUAGCUGGUUCUCCCCGAAAGCUAUUUAGGUAGCGCCUCGUGAAUUCAUCUCCGGGGGUAGAGCACUGUUUCGGCUAGGGGGCCAUCCCGGCUUACCAACCCGAUGCAAACUGCGAAUACCGGAGAAUGUUAUCACGGGAGACACACGGCGGGUGCUAACGUCCGUCGUGAAGAGGGAAACAACCCAGACCGCCAGCUAAGGUCCCAAAGUCAUGGUUAAGUGGGAAACGAUGUGGGAAGGCCCAGACAGCCAGGAUGUUGGCUUAGAAGCAGCCAUCAUUUAAAGAAAGCGUAAUAGCUCACUGGUCGAGUCGGCCUGCGCGGAAGAUGUAACGGGGCUAAACCAUGCACCGAAGCUGCGGCAGCGACACUGUGUGUUGUUGGGUAGGGGAGCGUUCUGUAAGCCUGUGAAGGUGUGUCGUGAGGCAUGCUGGAGGUAUCAGAAGUGCGAAUGCUGACAUAAGUAACGAUAAAGCGGGUGAAAAGCCCGCUCGCCGGAAGACCAAGGGUUCCUGUCCAACGUUAAUCGGGGCAGGGUGAGUCGACCCCUAAGGCGAGGCCGAAAGGCGUAGUCGAUGGGAAACGGGUUAAUAUUCCCGUACUUGGUGUUACUGCGAAGGGGGGACGGAGAAGGCUAUGUUGGCCGGGCGACGGUUGUCCCGGUUUAAGCGUGUAGGUGUGUGUUCCAGGUAAAUCCGGUUCACUUUAACACUGAGGCGUGACGACGAGGCACUACGGUGCUGAAGCAACAAAUGCCCUGCUUCCAGGAAAAGCCUCUAAGCAUCAGGUAACAUCAAAUCGUACCCCAAACCGACACAGGUGGUCAGGUAGAGAAUACCAAGGCGCUUGAGAGAACUCGGGUGAAGGAACUAGGCAAAAUGGUGCCGUAACUUCGGGAGAAGGCACGCUGACACGUAGGUGAAGUGAUUUACUCAUGGAGCUGAAGUCAGUCGAAGAUACCAGCUGGCUGCAACUGUUUAUUAAAAACACAGCACUGUGCAAACACGAAAGUGGACGUAUACGGUGUGACGCCUGCCCGGUGCCGGAAGGUUAAUUGAUGGGGUCAGCGCAAGCGAAGCUCCUGAUCGAAGCCCCGGUAAACGGCGGCCGUAACUAUAACGGUCCUAAGGUAGCGAAAUUCCUUGUCGGGUAAGUUCCGACCUGCACGAAUGGCGUAAUGAUGGCCAGGCUGUCUCCACCCGAGACUCAGUGAAAUUGAACUCGCUGUGAAGAUGCAGUGUACCCGCGGCAAGACGGAAAGACCCCGUGAACCUUUACUAUAGCUUGACACUGAACAUUGAGCCUUGAUGUGUAGGAUAGGUGGGAGGCUUUGAAGCGUGGACGCCAGUCUGCGUGGAGCCGACCUUGAAAUACCACCCUUUAAUGUUUGAUGUUCUAACGUGGACCCGUAAUCCGGGUUGCGGACAGUGUCUGGUGGGUAGUUUGACUGGGGCGGUCUCCUCCUAAAGAGUAACGGAGGAGCACGAAGGUUGGCUAAUCCUGGUCGGACAUCAGGAGGUUAGUGCAAUGGCAUAAGCCAGCUUGACUGCGAGCGUGACGGCGCGAGCAGGUGCGAAAGCAGGUCAUAGUGAUCCGGUGGUUCUGAAUGGAAGGGCCAUCGCUCAACGGAUAAAAGGUACUCCGGGGAUAACAGGCUGAUACCGCCCAAGAGUUCAUAUCGACGGCGGUGUUUGGCACCUCGAUGUCGGCUCAUCACAUCCUGGGGCUGAAGUAGGUCCCAAGGGUAUGGCUGUUCGCCAUUUAAAGUGGUACGCGAGCUGGGUUUAGAACGUCGUGAGACAGUUCGGUCCCUAUCUGCCGUGGGCGCUGGAGAACUGAGGGGGGCUGCUCCUAGUACGAGAGGACCGGAGUGGACGCAUCACUGGUGUUCGGGUUGUCAUGCCAAUGGCACUGCCCGGUAGCUAAAUGCGGAAGAGAUAAGUGCUGAAAGCAUCUAAGCACGAAACUUGCCCCGAGAUGAGUUCUCCCUGAGACUUAGAGUCUCCUGAAGGAACGUUGAAGACGACGACGUUGAUAGGCCGGGUGUGUAAGCGCAGCGAUGCGUUGAGCUAACCGGUACUAAUGAACCGUGAGGCUUAACCUU
RNAcentral lists this ribosomal RNA (2905 nucleotides) under Salmonella enterica. RNAcentral's name for it is "bacterial LSU rRNA". It matches the Rfam family "Bacterial large subunit ribosomal RNA". Lineage: Bacteria; Pseudomonadati; Pseudomonadota; Gammaproteobacteria; Enterobacterales; Enterobacteriaceae. The record is from RNAcentral.